AGACUAGAAUGAACGGUUAAACAAAGACACUUAUUUUUACCAAAUAAUAAUAAAAUUUGUACUGCAAGUAAAAAUACUUGCAUAACCUUAAGGGACGAUAAGACCCUAAAAGCUUCAAACAACUUAUUAAAUUUAAACAAACCCUAAUUAGUUUUUAGCUGGGGUAGUCUUCCAAAAAUCUUUGAUCAACUCAAAUAAACAAAAGAUCCAUCAAAUUUUGAUAAAUUGAAAAAGUUACUUUAGGGUUAACAGCACAAUAAUUUUGGAGAGAACUUAUCUAUAAAAUUGAUUGUGACCUCGAUGUUGAAUUAUAAUUUCUCUAUAAAGCAGCAGCUAUAUAAGAUGGUUUGUUCAACCAAUAACUUUAUACAUGAUUU
Molecule: ribosomal RNA, 377 nt
Filed under: Pakynidae sp. BOLD:ADL8871
Lineage: Eukaryota; Metazoa; Arthropoda; Malacostraca; Amphipoda; Pakynidae
Description: partial 16S ribosomal RNA
Source: RNAcentral